UGGGAGAUUAAUCAGAAAAUAUAACAUAAAAUACUAGAGGGAAUAUAGUGUUAAUACAAUCAGCUCCAUCAGCAGCUUGCAUAGCAGCUGAGGGCUGUGGUGUGUCACUGAUAUGAUUACCUACUCAUCCAGGCCUCUGAUCUCAUUGUUCCCUGACACAGAAGAUAAUACAUGCAUACUAAUGUGGGGCUGUAUUUGAAAUAAAGAUUUGCUUGACGUAGUAGAAAUGUUGCAGUUAUGAUUAUAUAGUUAUAUUUCUUUUCGCUUUUUAAAUAAUUUAUUUUCAAUAUGCAACACAAAUAGUCAAUUAAAAAUAUAUUUAAAACAAGGUAUCACCUGUUUAAUUGAUAUAAUUGCACUAAUUGAGAUCAUGGAUAAUAUAGGUUUUAGUAAUAUGAGAGCUGAAAACUAAAUAUCACAUUUCUUAGAUUAAAAUUCUGGUAUGAUUAUAAAAACAACAUUAACAUGUUAAAACUUAUAACAUGCUGUAGGAAGUCCAGGUAAAGUUUUUGUCAGGCUACAUAUUUUGAAUUUCUUGAAGCUAAUCUAACAAAUAGCCCUUUUUGUAUUGCAUGGAGCUUGGGCUGUGGUGGUGUCACAGGGAUAGAGCACACUGGAGUAAGAAUGUUGGUUUAGUGUGACAAGUGCUCUCUUUCCUUCUGAGGAUCUCUGCUGGAUCAGCUGGAGGCAGCAGACUUGAGAGCAAUCACCUAUCUGCUGCAGCCUUCUGAAGGAGCUGUUAGAGGAUCAAUCAUUGCCUGAUAUUCAUGUUUGUUGGUUGAAGAAGUUCCUAGAUGCCUGGAUUACCACUGCUAUUUCAAGCUUAACGCUCUGUGACUCUACAAUACCAGCCUGGCCUCCCACUCCACUGUAUAACGAGAGACUCACCACCAAGAUCUCAUCACCUCCUACAGCUGCUCUUUUUGAUCCAAAACAAAGCUGCUGGACCUCCUGAGCUCUGAACAAGGUCCAUUCCCAUGUCUCUGGUCAAAAUGUCUACCACCUGCUUGUGAUUCUGCAUCAGGAUUGCCCCGUGGUCAUUGGAGCCCUCGGGGCAGUGACCCCCAAACUGGAGAAGUGGUUACAUUAGAUCCCUGGAAAUACAUCAGACAUCUCGGUCCAGAAGAGUGCAAUUCUACGAACAGCAAAGAUACUGUGUAGAACUCUCAAGCUCCCAGGCCUCUGGUAGAAGACCCGGGCUUGGAGGAAAAAGGGGGGAAGACCAUCCGCAAUGGCAGCGUGGGAAUCUGCCACCAUCCAUCCCAAGCAGCAGGUAAUGGAUCAAGCGCGGGACCUGAUGUGGCUACGGAUGAGCCAGCCCGUAGGCGUGAGAGUAGGCGUUCAAAUGGAUUUGGAGAAGCUCGCCUAAAGUACUUACACCUGGAACUUUUUGUGUUUGCUUCUCAGCGCAAGCCCUUCACAUCUCCUCAUUUCUUCUUUCAAAGACAAAAAAACAUGACAGCAGGGUGCCAGAGUCAUGUUGGGUUGGUUGGGGGACAUUUUGAUGUUAGUGGGAUGCUUUUUUUUCUUGGCACUCUUUAAUCCCAGCAGUGUUGCAAAAGCACUCUGUUCUAUUUCUCACUUUGAUUGCUGAAGCACGGAUCAAGAGCCUUGUAAAGGUAGCCCCCAAUGUCACUUUACAACUGCAGGAAAUCAUAAAUUGUUCAAGUGCGUCUUGCCACUGGUAUAUAUUGUGUUUUCAGAGCAGUUGUGCAGUUUAUGUGUAGUGAAGAGUAAAUGGGUCCAAACUAAAGAAAAAAAAUACAGGAUCUUGCACUCUCCACAGAUUUCUCACAGAACCCUGGAAACUAAUAUACACAAACAUCUGUUUAUGAAUAAUGGAUGAAGAUGAAAUACUUGUACCGAUCCACUCUAGAGCAGAGCAGAUGUUAUUUACAGUCUUAUAGAAGUAUGCUUGCCAUCAGGGCUGAUGCAAUUUAAUGUGAGUCUUUUUUUUAUUGUAUUGGAGAUCAAUGUUUAUGGAUAACUACUUUAUUGUACUGUUUUUGUCACCUUUUAAUCUGAAAUUGUAUAUUUUUUAUUUCUAAUAUACCAACACAUAGUGACACAUUCUUAAGUAGAAUUUAAAUUAUAUGUUUUUUUGAAAGUACAAAUAAAUAAAAAUCUGGUGCAACCAAUUGCCUUA
Molecule: long non-coding RNA, 2146 nt
Organism: Cyprinodon tularosa
Lineage: Eukaryota; Metazoa; Chordata; Actinopteri; Cyprinodontiformes; Cyprinodontidae
Exons: 6
Source: RefSeq, a predicted model, not a curated record